AUGGCCAUGGGCAACAAUGGCGUCAAGGUCACCUACAUCGAGACGCAGUUCGUCACCUCCGACGCCGCGAGCUUCAAGUCCCUCGUACAGCGCCUCACGGGCAAGUCCGGCGCCGAAGCCGCGGCCGCGCCCCUGCCGCGCUGCCGCAGCCGAGAAGACGAGCGCUGUUACUGGAGCGCCGAGCUAUUUCACGUCCACCACCGCGGGCUCGGUCAGUGCAGCUGCGGACCACGUGCCGGCAGCGGCGUUCGCUGCCAACCCCGGCGAUUACUCGGAGCUGGAGGGACUUUGGGAUUACUCGGAGCUGUUCUGCGCAGCCGAACGGUGCCAUGGCGACAGUUACAGUGA
Molecule: ribosomal RNA, 348 nt
Filed under: Triticum aestivum (bread wheat)
Lineage: Eukaryota; Viridiplantae; Streptophyta; Magnoliopsida; Poales; Poaceae
Description: partial small subunit ribosomal RNA
Source: RNAcentral